GAAUAUUGGUCAAUGGGCGAGAGCCUGAACCAGCCAAGUAGCGUGAAGGAUGACUGCCCUAUGGGUUGUAAACUUCUUUUAUAGGGGAAUAAAGUGAGCCACGUGUGGCUUUUUGUAUGUACCCUAUGAAUAAGGAUCGGCUAACUCCGUGCCAGCAGCCGCGGUAAUACGGAGGAUCCGAGCGUUAUCCGGAUUUAUUGGGUUUAAAGGGAGCGUAGGUGGACAUGUAAGUCAGUUGUGAAAGUUUGCGGCUCAACCGUAAAAUUGCAGUUGAUACUGUGUGUCUUGAGUACAGUAGAGGUGGGCGGAAUUCGUGGUGUAGCGGUGAAAUGCUUAGAUAUCACGAAGAACUCCGAUUGCGAAGGCAGCUCACUGGACUGUUACUGACACUGAGGCUCGAAAGUGUGGGUAUCAAACAGGAUUAGAUACCCUGGUAGUCCACACAGUAAACGAUGAAUACUCGCUGUUUGCGAUAUACAGCAAGCGGCCAAGCGAAAGCAUUAAGUAUUCCACCUGGGGAGUACGCCGGCAACGGUGAAACUCAAAGGAAUUGACGGGGGCCCGCACAAGCGGAGGAACAUGUGGUUUAAUUCGAUGAUACGCGAGGAACCUUACCCGGGCUUAAAUUGCAUUUGAAUGUUGGGGAAACCCAACAGCCGUAAGGCAAAUGUGAAGGUGCUGCAUGGUUGUCGUCAGCUCGUGCCGUGAGGUGUCGGCUUAAGUGCCAUAACGAGCGCAACCCUUAUCUUUAGUUACUAACAGGUUAUGCUGAGGACUCUAGAGAGACUGCCGUCGUAAGAUGUGAGGAAGGUGGGGAUGACGUCAAAUCAGCACGGCCCUUACGUCCGGGGCUACACACGUGUUACAAUGGGGGGUACAGAAGGCAGCUACCUGGUGACAGGAUGCUAAUCCCAAAAGCCUCUCUCAGUUCGGAUCGAAGUCUGCAACCCGACUUCGUGAAGCUGGAUUCGCUAGUAAUCGCGCAUCAGCCACGGCGCGGUGAAUACGUUCCCG
This 1014-nucleotide ribosomal RNA is filed under the name uncultured bacterium. RNAcentral describes it as "bacterial SSU rRNA". It matches the Rfam family "Bacterial small subunit ribosomal RNA", at positions 359 to 1376 of the family's 1533-position model. The record is from RNAcentral.